UUUUGGGUUCUCUGCCGUGCCUGCAGGUGUUAGGGAGAGCCUGGGUGUUGUAUGUGGCAGGAAAAAAGCAAUUGUUUCUGACUCCUUAGCUACCUUGAAGACCUCUGUAUGUUUGCCGAAGAGUUGAGGGGACACACCACCCGCAUAGCAUGAGUGACUCCUAAGUCAGAGCAGACAUGGGUGAGCACGUUAGUUUUGAGAAAGAAACUGCCUACAACAUAAUCAACCUGACAGGUCUUUGGAUAGUUUUACAUUUGUGUGUUGUGUUUAAUGUUCAGCCUGGGCUGCAGCUUGGCGGGUAUCGGGUUCUGCUUUCUGGUUUCUAGUCUGGCUUUGAAUUUACUGGGUUGCUAGCAAGAAAACAAAUCUAUUUUUAAGGGAAUAGAAUGUAGAACGGCGUAGGCGUAGAAGUAUAAUACACAGUGACCAUCAUAGAUUUACACAGCUUUAGAGUUCUUAGCCCCCAGGACUUCCUACAUAAAAGGCCCGGGAAGCUCUAGCUGCAGGUUGCUGGUGUGCUCAGCACAGCUUUCCUUUAUGCACUCCCAGCUUAUAAGGGACUUCGGUUUAUUUGCGAUUUGCCUUGCAUGAUACCACUUUGUAUCUUUCAGGAGGUCAGAGGACUCUUUUGUCCAGGUUGAAGUCCCAAAGUGUCAGUUUUACCUAAGAUUGUUUCUCAACGACCCCCCCUCCCCCCGCCGCCGCCGAAGGGUCCCUGAUUUCCAUGUAUCAGGAAGGUGACUGCUUCUAUCUAUCCAUGUAUAUGACAUUAUGUACAUCAAGUACUGAAUCUGAUUUCUGUGCCAGCCAUCUGACCUGAUUCUUUGAGACCCAUAAAGGUACUGGUUAUAGGUAAUAGUUGCAUCCCGGGAGAAUAGAGUGGUCCAAAUACUUUCUCUGAAUUAUAAAGCUAAUGGGGUUUGCAUUUUAGUAAAGCGUCCUAAUUGUCAGUGAUGCAGGAUCUUGCUUUUUAAUUUUUUUUUUUUAAAUACAAUUCUCUAAAUGUGGUCAGUAAUGUAUGGGAUCAGUCACAUAGUAGAUGCAUUCUGGAUCUUCUAUUGGGAAAGCCUUCAUAAGGGAGGCCAUAUGUAAAACCACCCUGGUCCGUUUACCUUACAAGCACCACUUAUGCAGCAUCUGACUCAGCAUAAAUCUAUGGCAAAACCACAACAGUGACUCUGUCCCUUUGCGGUAUACCAUGCCUCGUCUGAGAGGCUCUAAUACCGGAAGAGUUUAUUCUUAAAAGUAAAGAUGGUUUUGUAUCAUAAGAUAACCCCCAAAGCUGGCCACCAAGGCUUCCUUUCUCUGUUCUUCCUCUUUCCUAACUCGGGUUUUGGAGUCUCCUUAGCUUACGCUACUUUCUUAGGACUUUGGUUUUUGUUUUUUUGUUUGUUUUUUUUUGAGCCCAGGAGUCUACAGUGUGACCCUUGUCAGUGAAGUUCUUUUGUUUUAAAAGAUUCAUGGUAACACAAAAUGUAUUUUACUGCUACAACUAAAAUGUAUUUAUAAUAAAAAAAUGCCUUUUU
RNAcentral lists this long non-coding RNA (1526 nucleotides) under Mus musculus (house mouse). Its description in RNAcentral is "long non-coding RNA chr11:107692295-107693821". Lineage: Eukaryota; Metazoa; Chordata; Mammalia; Rodentia; Muridae. The record is from RNAcentral.